RNAcentral lists this non-coding RNA (722 nucleotides) under Hydatina physis. Lineage: Eukaryota; Metazoa; Mollusca; Gastropoda; Aplustridae. The record is from RNAcentral.
UAGCUUUGUCCCGACUUUUUGUAAUCGUUUACUGAAUUUGGCAUGGUAGUUCUCGCGAGAGAAAAAUGAACCCAGCCUAAAACAUUAAUACAAUUUUAGAAAUAAAAAUUUAAUUUUAGUAAAAAUUCUCUGACUAAUUAGGUGCCAGCAGUCGCGGUCAUACCUAAAGAGGAGAUUACACAAUUAGGCGUGACUUAAUUAUUGUGGGAUUGGAUUAGGGUUGGUGAAAUAACCUAAGUGCUAAUAACUCCCUACACAAGAAUUUUGUCUAAACUUAGAAUAAAAACUAGGAUUAGAUACCCUAUUAUUCUGAGCACAAAACCGAAGCCUAAGUACUAAGACUAAAAUAGUUAAAACUUAAAAGACAUGGCGGCAGUUUUAACUUUUAGGGGAACUUACCAGAUAAAUGAUAACCCACAAGAAAAAUCACUUUUCUUCAAAGCUUGUAUACCGCCGUCUUCAGAACCUACUUUAGGUAGGCCCGAAAUUGCUUUGCAAAAAGACAGGUCAAGGUGCAGCCUAUAGAAAAGACUUGAGGUGAGUUACAAUAUUAAAUCUUUUCGGAGCUUCUUUGUAACAAAGAGGAUAAAGGUGGACUUAAAAGUAAAGAAUACUAAUAGAAAUACUUCUUGAAUUUGUAACAGCUGUGUACAAAUCGCCCGUCACUCUCGUUGGAAAAGGAGAUAAGUCGUAACACAGUAGGGGUACUGGAAAGUGUCCCU